Long non-coding RNA from Zonotrichia albicollis (white-throated sparrow), 1841 nucleotides. NCBI's taxonomy places the organism in Eukaryota, Metazoa, Chordata, Aves, Passeriformes, Passerellidae. The record is from Ensembl.
AUCUAAAUAAAGUAAAAUAACAAUAUAAAAUAAAAUGAAAUAAAAUAAAAUUAUAAAAAUAAAAAUAUAACAAAUUAAACACUAAAAAUAAAAAAUAAAUAUUAAAAACACAAAAAAUAAAAAUAAAAAUAAAAUAAAAUAAUAAAAUAAAAAAUAAAAUAAAAAUAAAAAUAAAAUAAAAUAAAAAUAAAAUAAAAUAAAAUAAAAUAAAAUAAAAUAAAAUAAAAUAAAUAAUCCCCUUUGGGAGCGGAGGCUCGGGGGUUCCCAGGGGCGUCCGUGGACGAGGAUUCAUAAAAAAAUAUCUCUGAGAGUGUGAGCUAAAAAUAGACCCGGGGGGGAGGGGAAUGGAAGGUUCUGGAAGGUCCUGGAGGCGCCCAGAGGGGCCUCAGAGCCCUCCUGGAGCUCCUGGAGGUUCUGGAGAAGUUCUGGAGCUCCUGGAGCGGAUCCAGAUGAGUCCUCAGAGCAGUUCUGGAGGUUCUUGAGAAGUUCUGGAGCUCCUGGAGGUUCUGGAGCAGAUCCAGACGGGUCCUCAGAGCAGUUCUGGAGCUCCUGGAGAAGUUCCAGAGGUUCUGGAGAAGUUCUGGAGGUUCUGGAUGGUCCUGGAGGGAUCCAGAGGGGCCUCAGAGCGGUUCUGGAGCUCCUGGAGGUUCUGGAGAAGUUCUGGAGGUUCUGGAUGGUCCUGGAGCGGAUCCAGAUGAGUCCUCAGAGCAGUUCUGGAGCUCCUGGAGAGGUUCUGGAUCAACUCUGGACCUCCUGGAUCCGUUCUGGACCUCUUGGUUAAGUUCUGAACCUCCUGGAUCAAUUCUGGAUCAAUUCUGGACCUCCAGGAUCAACUCUGGACCUCCUGGAUCAAUUCUGAAUCUCCUGGAUCAGUUCUGGACAAACUCUGCACCUCCCGGCUCAGUUCUGGACCUCCAGGAUCUCCUGAAGAUGUUCUGAACCACCUGAAUUGAUUCUGGAUCAACUCUGGACCUCCAGGAUCAACUCUGGACCUCCAGGAUCAGUUCUGGACCUCCUGGAGAUGUUCUGAAGUACCUGCAUUGAUUCUGGAUCAACUCUGGACCUCCUGGAUCAGUUCUGGACCUCCAGGGUCUCCUGAAGAUGUUCUGAACCACCUGAAUUGAUUCUGGAUCAGUUCUGGACCUCCUGGAUCAAUUCUGGAUCUCCUGGAUCAGUUCUGGACAAAUUCUGGAUCUCCUGGAUCAACUCUGGAUCUCCCGGCUCAGUUCUGCCCCUCCAGGAUCUCCUGAAGAUGUUCUGAACCACCUGAAUUGAUUCUGGAUCAGUUCUGGACCUCCUGGAUCCGUUCUGGAACUCCUGGAUCAGUUCUGCCCCUCCCGGCUCAAUUCUGGACCUCCUGGAGAUGUUCUGAACCUCCAGGAUUGAUUCUGGAUCUCCUGAAGAUGUUCUGAACUACCUGGAUUGAUUCUGGAUCAACUCUGGACCUCCUGGCUCAGUUCUGGACCUCCAGGGUCUCCUGAAGAUGUUCUGAACUACCUGAAUUGAUUCUGGAUCAACUCUGGACCUCCCGGCUCAGUUCUGGACUUCCUGGAUCAAUUCUGGAUCUCCUGGCUCAGUUCUACACUUCCUGGAGAGGUUCUGAACCUCCUGGAUCAACUCUGGACCUCCUGGAUCAGUUCUGGACCUCUCGGAUCAGUUCUGGAUCUCCUGGAUCAACUCUGCACCUCCUGGAUCAACUUUGGACCUCCUGGAUCAGUUCUGGACCUCCUGGCUCAGUUCUGGAUCUCCUGGUUCAGUUCUGGACAAACUCUGGACCUCCCGGCUCAGUUCUGGACCUCCUGGAGAUGUUUUGAAUGUCCAGGAUCAACUCUGGACCUCCC